RNAcentral lists this ribosomal RNA (797 nucleotides) under bacterium enrichment culture. Its description in RNAcentral is "bacterial SSU rRNA". It matches the Rfam family "Bacterial small subunit ribosomal RNA", at positions 733 to 1532 of the family's 1533-position model. The record is from RNAcentral.
ACUGUAACUGACGCUGAGGCACGAAAGCGUGGGUAGCAAACAGGAUUAGAUACCCUGGUAGUCCACGCCGUAAACGAUGGAUACUAGGUGUAGGGGGUAUCAACUCCCUCUGUGCCGCAGUUAACACAAUAAGUAUCCCGCCUGGGGAGUACGGUCGCAAGAUUAAAACUCAAAGGAAUUGACGGGGGCCCGCACAAGCAGCGGAGCAUGUGGUUUAAUUCGAAGCAACGCGAAGAACCUUACCUGGACUUGACAUCCCUUGCAUAGCCUAGAGAUUGGUGAAGCCCUUCGGGGCAAGGAAACAGGUGGUGCAUGGUUGUCGUCAGCUCGUGUCGUGAGAUGUUAGGUUAAGUCCUGCAACGAGCGCAACCCUUGUUAUUAGUUGCUACCAUUAAGUUGAGCACUCUAAUGAGACUGCCUGGGUAACCAGGAGGAAGGUGGGGAUGACGUCAAAUCAUCAUGCCCCUUAUGUCCAGGGCUACACACGUGCCACAAUGGUAGGUACAAUAAGAGGCAAGACCGUGAGGUGGAGCAAAACUUAUAAAGCCUAUCUCAGUUCGGAUUGUAGGCUGCAACUCGCCUACGUGAAGCUGGAGUUGCUAGUAAUCGCGAAUCAGAAUGUCGCGGUGAAUACGUUCCCGGGCCUCGUACACACCGCCCGUCACACCAUGAGAGCUGGUAACACCCGAAGUCCGUGAGGCAACCGUAAGGAGCCAGCGGCCGAAGGUGGGAUUAGUGAUUGGGGUGAAGUCGUAACAAGGUAGCCGUAGGAGAACCUGCGGCUGGAUCACCUCCUU